This 421-nucleotide ribosomal RNA is filed under the name Fusobacteriota bacterium. RNAcentral's name for it is "Fusobacteria bacterium partial 16S ribosomal RNA". It matches the Rfam family "Bacterial small subunit ribosomal RNA", at positions 355 to 776 of the family's 1533-position model. Lineage: Bacteria; Fusobacteriati; Fusobacteriota. The record is from RNAcentral.
UGGGGAAUAUUGAACAAUGGCCGGAAGUUUGAUGCAGCGACGCCGCGUGGAGGGUGUAGGCCUUCGGGUUGUGAACUCCUUUUUCUCGCGAAAAAGGCACAGUUUUGGCUGUGUUGAUGGUAGUGGGGGAAGAAGCGCCGGCUAACUACGUGCCAGAAGCCGCGGUAAUAAGUAGGGCGCGAGCGCUGUCCGGAUUUAUUGGGCGUAAAGAGCUCGUAGGUGGUUCGGCGCGUCUGUCGUGAAAGCCAGCAGCUUAACUGUUGGUCUGCGGUGGGUACGGGCGGGCUUGAGUGCGGUAGGGGUGACUGGAAUUCCUGGUGUAGCGGUGGAAUGCGCAGAUAUCAGGAGGAACACCGAUGGCGAAGGCAGGUCACUGGGCCGUUACUGACACUGAGGAGCUAAAGCGUGGGGAGCGAACAGG